GUUGUGAUGGCUGAGAGGUUAAGGUGUUGGACUAGAAAUCCAAUGGGAUGUUUGCGUGCAGGUUCGAUCCCCGCUCACAGCA
Molecule: non-coding RNA, 82 nt
Organism: Nerophis ophidion (straightnose pipefish)
Lineage: Eukaryota; Metazoa; Chordata; Actinopteri; Syngnathiformes; Syngnathidae
Source: the annotation of a RefSeq genome assembly